Molecule: ribosomal RNA, 301 nt
Filed under: uncultured bacterium
Lineage: Bacteria
Description: partial 16S ribosomal RNA
Rfam family: Bacterial small subunit ribosomal RNA
Source: RNAcentral
CAGUCGCCGCGGGAAUACGGAGGGCGCGAGCGUUACCCGGAUUUACUGGGCGUAAAGGGCGUGUAGGCGGCCUGGGGCGUCCCAUGUGAAAGGCCACGGCUCAACCGUGGAGGAGCGUGGGAUACGCUCAGGCUGGAGGGUGGGAGAGGGUGGUGGAAUUCCCGGAGUAGCGGUGAAAUGCGCAGAUACCGGGAGGAACGCCGAUGGCGAAGGCAGCCACCUGGUCCACUUCUGACGCUGAGGCGCGAAAGCGUGGGGAGCAAACCGGAUUAGAUACCCCUGUAGUCCCUGUCUCUUAUAU